This 1587-nucleotide ribosomal RNA is filed under the name Triticum aestivum (bread wheat). RNAcentral describes it as "partial small subunit ribosomal RNA". The record is from RNAcentral. Lineage: Eukaryota; Viridiplantae; Streptophyta; Magnoliopsida; Poales; Poaceae.
AUGGCAUAUCGAAUGGUAUGCGCUCCCCAAGUCAUUGAUCUUGAGUCUGAGCGAGGGCAUCCUCAUGUUCAUUCUGAAAGUUUAAUUCACAAUGGGAAUGAUUUGUCCGACCAAGGCGGUCAAUAUACUGUCAGAGUUGUAGGCAAUGCUAUGAAUGCUGGUCUUUCUGAUACACAGGGUUACUACAAUAUGAACAUGAAUCAUCCACAUCAGCCUGUUCAUAGUUCUCCGCCAAAUUUAGGCGUUGAUUCAGGUUUUGUCUUCCCAUCAAAUAUGUACAACCCUUGCAUGUCAACAUCUAUGAACAGAUAUGCCUCUCAUGCUCAGAGCUUUGGAUUGCCUUUAAACCAAGUUGUCUCAGGAAGUAUGGAUGGAAGUACUAGAAAUGAAAAUGUCAGCGAAACUGCUAGAGGAUUCAUUAAAAGGAAAAAUGCCGCAGUUGCAGGAAGUUGUCAUUUUGUUAAUGGAUCUGCAAGCUCAAGCUCAUCCUCUCAUACAUCUCAAAAUCCUACACAUAGGCCAUGGGAUCCUUCUUUUGAGUCAAAUGUUUUUCCUAACGUCACACCAUUCAACCCAUCAGAAUAUCAUAGCCACAACACUUGGCCAUCUGUGGAAGGAUCUUCCAUUACUGGAUCAAAUGGGUUUAAUUUGAUGGCUGCUCACCCAGAAUCAGCACAGCAUGGUAACUAUACAUUUCAAUCAAGUCAUGCUAGUCAGUGCUUUCAACCUGCCAGCACUACUUGGGUUUCCCAGGCUGCAACUGGAAUUGUGGAAGGAGUACCACAGUGGUCAUACAUCAAUGCAAUGUCUAGUGUUCCAGCAGGCAGAUUUGCACAUUCAGGGGCCACAGAAAUAGUGAAUGGAGGCUUUCAUGAAUAUCAGAAUGGCCCUUCAACCAUUUCUCAAGGGCAUUUACCUUAUUUUCAUCAACAUGCUGUGCAUAGCAUGCAAGCUCAUAAUCCACUGGAUCAUACACGAGUGCAAGUCCCUUACCAACAAGGCCACAAUAAUGGCGUCUUACAUAGUGGGGUAAAUCAUUCUGGUAACCGGUUCCACUUGGGUCCAAGAACUCUAGGUCUCUUCUCUAAUUCUGAGCGGUCUUUUGGGCCCCCACAGCAUCCGUUCCUGGUGAACCCAGUUAAUCAUAGGAACAUAAGAAUUUUGCCACCUCUGCAGCAUGGUGCAAUCAUGGAUUUUUCGAGGUUGUAUGAGGGGUCAAAUGUAGUAGAUGAGCAUAGAGAUAUGCGUCUAGAUAUAGACAGCAUGACCUAUGAGGAGCUUUUAGCAUUAGAAGAGCACAUUGGAGACGUCAAUACAGGUCUGGCAAAAAGUCACAUCGUAGAUAAGUUGAAGACUAGCUUAUAUGUGCCAGGAGCAACCUGCGUGUCUAAUCAGUCAUCUGAACCUUCCACAGAGAAUGAGGCUUGCAUAAUAUGCCAGGAGGAGUACAAGGCUGAGGACUGCGUUGGAAUCCUGGAUUGUGGCCACAGAUACCACGCGGAGUGCUUAAAACAAUGGCUGACGGUAAAGAACCUAUGCCCCAUCUGCAAGACAACAGCUUUGUCUGCGGGUAGAAGAAGUGGAUAA